AUGAAAGAAUUAAUGGUUUGUCCUGGUGCAAAGGUGGCUCUGCAGCAUAAUUUAGGCCUUGGAGGAGCUGCGAUUGUAAUGAUCUACAAGAUGGGUUUUCCCUGAAGCUGCCAGUUCUUUUAGAACUCAUCAAAUUGAGGCUGCUCCAACCAGCUCUCCAGGUGGUGGAUUUAAGGCAAAUCUUGUCUUUAAGGAGAUUGAGAAGAAGCUAGAAGAGGUAGGGGAACAGUCUGUGAAGAAAAUUGGUGGUGUUUUUGCCUUCAAGGUGAAGGAUGGCCCUGGGGGUAAAGAAGCCACCUGGGUUGUAGAUGUGAAGAAGGGCAAAGGAUCAGUGCUUCCUAACUCAGAUAAGAAGGCAGACUGCACGAUGACAAUGGCUGACUCUGACUUACUGGCUUUAAUGACUGGUAAAAUGAAUCCUCAGUCGGCCUUCUUUCAAGGCAAAUUGAAAAUCACUGGAAAUAUGGGUCUGGCUAUGAAGUUACAAAAUCUUCAGCUUCAGCCAGCCAAAGCUAAGCUAUGAGAACUCCCCUUUGACUACUUUUGAAAAUCAAGAUGAAAUAUAUAGAUAUAUCCAUAUAUUUCAUUGUCAGAAUUUAGACUGAGACUACACAUUGGCAAAUUGUGUGAGAGAUUUGUUUUUAAAGGGGUAUGGCCAAUCCUGUUUUUCCUAUGCUCUGGGUGAAUAGAGCCUGAUGGUGUACUCCUACUUUGCUGAAUUGCAUACAACUAUGCAUUACAAAGUUAAUAUGGUAAUUAUGGUUUGGGGUUGAGUUCAGAAUAAAAUUGAGUUCAGAAUAAAAUUAGGAACAGUAAAAUCCAAAAAAUUACGUAAACAAAAGCUCUUAUUUUGCUUAUAAAGCAUAGUUAAGGAUUAUUCUACUGAAAAUUCAGUUUAAGAGUUUUCCUUGGAGAGAACUAGGGAAGAAACAAUAUCAAUAGCCAAUCAGUAAUUAGUGUUGUGCACUUAAUCAAGCUCUCAUUAAUAGUUCUUAAAAUUCUGUACCAGGAUUAAAAAAAAAAAACAAAACUUAAAAAUUUUGCAUUUCCUGCCAUCAGAAACAGUAUUUUCUUCCUAAAUCAAAAUAAAAGAAAUAUGGGCCGGGUACGGUGGCUCACGCCUGUAAUC
Molecule: non-coding RNA, 1129 nt
Organism: Microcebus murinus (gray mouse lemur)
Lineage: Eukaryota; Metazoa; Chordata; Mammalia; Primates; Cheirogaleidae
Source: RefSeq, a predicted model, not a curated record